RNAcentral lists this ribosomal RNA (582 nucleotides) under Diptilomiopus engelhardter. RNAcentral describes it as "partial large subunit ribosomal RNA". Lineage: Eukaryota; Metazoa; Arthropoda; Arachnida; Trombidiformes; Diptilomiopidae. The record is from RNAcentral.
AAAUAGUACUUUGCAGAGAGAGUUAAGAGGGCGUGAAACCGUUAAUUGGCAAACGAAUCGGAGCCACGAAGUCGUUUCGCUGAGUUGGCUUGAGUUCAGCCCGGAACACGCUUGUGUUGCGGGUGUAUUCUUGAGCUUAACCCUUGUAAGCGUACACUGCAACCAGUUAGACGAUUGAAGAUGGGCCCAGUGAAUCGGAGGCGCUUCGGCGCUUCCGGUGAACGCAGCAUCUAUUUGCGUGAGUUAGUAGUAGUGUGGGCGGGCAUUUGUCCGUUCGUAUUGCUGGGCUUGCGACAAGUGAACUAUCCUCAAAUACUGACUGGCAAAAUGAAAAUCGCGAAAGCGUUCCACAAAAAGCGACCGAGCGCAUAAUUGUCUACGCAACUGACCAUGGGGUCCUAAGCUUGGCAUUUUCGAAUUUAGGCUUGCUUGCUACCAAUGGGGCAACUCUUGGUGCUUGUAUAGUUUCUAUCUAAUCAGGUGUCGACUUGAUUUUGUGUCGUUUAGUUGUGCUAUGAUCGGGCGGUUAUGCGACUUGGUUUGCAAUUUGAUUGGCAGUGAGUAGGUCGGCUUUCCGAACGA